CCGCCACCGUGGACGCGCCGCUGGAGGACAAGGACAGCGUGCUUGCUGUGUACCUGGACCCAGCGCUGCUAGCAGGGCGGAGGGAAGAAGCUUUGGCCGCAAUAUCGGCGGCCAUCGCUGACGCUCCCAUGACGCUGGGAUCAGUGAGGACCAGGCUGGUGACUUCGCUAGGAGAUGUGAUGCCCGGCAACUCGCUUGUCAUGCCGACACCGGGGUCUGGCAACA
Long non-coding RNA from Hyalella azteca, 225 nucleotides. RefSeq lists it as uncharacterized. Lineage: Eukaryota; Metazoa; Arthropoda; Malacostraca; Amphipoda; Hyalellidae. The transcript has 3 exons. The record is from RefSeq and is a predicted model, not a curated record.